UCAGACUUUUAAAGCAUCUGAAGCGGGAUGAAGGUGAAAGAUGGAAGGAUCUGAUCUCUGAAACUGCGCUCACCACCCCCAAGUUGUGGCCUUGGAUACCACACUGUGCAGUUGGGUGGUGAUGGGCCGGUCUAAUUGAAGCCAACGGAGAACUCAAGGUCUUCAUAGACCAGAACCUUAGUCCCGGAAAAGGUAAGGGCACCUGUUCUGGACACACUUGUGUUGAUGAAUGCGUGAAGCUUCACGUGUUUAUGAAGCUGUUGACGUUGAAGCCUCUUGCUAAUGAUGGCAUCUCCUGCACGGGCACCUUUGUGCUCUGAGAAUCCAGGAGGGUGGGCGUAGGGGCCUUCUAAUAUUUAGAAACAGCCUGCACACCACACCAGAAGCUUUGUGGAUUUUGAAUUCUAAGGUGUGUAUACUAUUUGCAAACAUUUAGAAAAAGGUAGAAUAAUGUAAAGAAGAAAUAAAGACAAUUUGUUUUCCCGCCACCCAAAGAUAAUGACGUCUCAGCAGUGGUGUGGGCUCUUCCAGAAGCCAGACUCACCUGUGCU
This 551-nucleotide long non-coding RNA is filed under the name Macaca mulatta (Rhesus monkey). Its description in RNAcentral is "lncRNA (ENSMMUG00000054740.1)". The record is from RNAcentral. Lineage: Eukaryota; Metazoa; Chordata; Mammalia; Primates; Cercopithecidae.